This 789-nucleotide ribosomal RNA is filed under the name Brevibacterium sp. Its description in RNAcentral is "bacterial SSU rRNA". It matches the Rfam family "Bacterial small subunit ribosomal RNA", at positions 239 to 1036 of the family's 1533-position model. The record is from RNAcentral. Lineage: Bacteria; Bacillati; Actinomycetota; Actinomycetes; Micrococcales; Brevibacteriaceae.
UAUCAGCUUGUUGGUGGGGUAAUGGCCUACCAAGGCGACGACGGGUAGCCGGCCUGAGAGGGCGACCGGCCACACUGGGACUGAGACACGGCCCACACUCCUACGGGAGGCAGCAGUGGGGAAUAUUGCACAAUGGGGGAAACCCUGAUGCAGCGACGCAGCGUGCGGGAUGACGGCCUUCGGGUUGUAAACCGCUUUCAGCAGGGAAGAAGCGAAAGUGACGGUACCUGCAGAAGAAGUACCGGUUAACUACGUGCCACCAGCCGCGGUAAUACGUAGGGUACGAGCGUUGUCCGGAAUUAUUGGGCGUAAAGAGCUCGUAGGUGGUUGGUCACGUCUGCUGUGGAAACGCAACGCUUAACGUUGCGCGUGCAGUGGGUACGGGCUGACUAUAGUGCAGUAGGGGAGUCUGGAAUUCCUGGUGUAGCGGUGAAAUGCGCAGAUAUCAGGAGGAACACCGGUGGCGAAGGCGGGACUCUGGGCUGUAACUGACACUGAGGAGCGAAAGCAUGGUGAGCGAACAGGAUUAGAUACCCUGGUAGUCCAUGCCGUAAACGUUGGGCACUACGUGUGGGGGACAUUCCACGUUCUCCGCGCCGUAGCUAACGCAUUAAGUGCCCCGCCUGGGGAGUACAGCUCGCAAGGCUAAAACUCAAAGGAAUUGACGGGGGCCCGCACAAGCGGCGGGAGCAUGCAGAUUAAUUCGAUGCAACGCGAAUAACCUUACCAACGCUUGACAUACACUGUACUCGUUCUGGAGACAGUUCUUCUCUUUGGAGCUGGUGUACA